Molecule: long non-coding RNA, 441 nt
Organism: Dendrobium catenatum
Lineage: Eukaryota; Viridiplantae; Streptophyta; Magnoliopsida; Asparagales; Orchidaceae
Exons: 2
Source: RefSeq, a predicted model, not a curated record
UGACCUUGAAUCGUGAUUCCUUUCAGCUUUGUAAACUCUAUCCACCAAAGCAGUCCUGAGCUCCAGAUUUUUGAAUUUGUAGGCGCAACAAUCGUCCCAUCUAGCUGCAACAAAUAAAAGACCCAAUCAUCAGCUAUGUUUUUAGCAGCAGUAGCAUACCUGGAAUAUGAUGUUAGGCUGGCAGUAGGGACCCGAGAAGGAGAUCGGACCGACGAGGAAUGCGUAAUCCGAUGGAACCUUCACCGUUGAUGCCUCGACCUGGCAGGCUGCCAUCCAAGCAUCUUCAAAUGCCUGCAUUGUAAUUUUCCAGUGAACAACAUGGUAGCUCUCUCUACUGCUAUUAUACUUAGCUUCAGAAAUUCCCUCUAUGAAAGAUGCUGAUCCCCAAAAAAGAGAUCUUUAAGAACUUAUUUAUACUAAGGGGGAAUUAAAUGCUUGAAA